RNAcentral lists this unclassified non-coding RNA (378 nucleotides) under Karlodinium veneficum. Its description in RNAcentral is "trans-spliced leader sequence SL-g1-3". The record is from RNAcentral. Lineage: Eukaryota; Dinophyceae; Gymnodiniales; Kareniaceae.
AGCCAUUUUGGCUCAAGGUACAAGUUGGGCUGUUGCGGUCACGCAGGCCUUUUUUAAUCGCUCUAUGGCCAACUCUGAAUCCGAAGUCAUUCUGCAUGGCGCACGUUCAUGCAUGUUCACCUCCUGGGAAUAAGUUGGAAAGCAUAUUUCCUACCUCUUCCUGCCCGUCAUCGCCAAAGUAUGGUAUUGUUAUGAUACUUGUCGACGCUCUCGUCAUCUUCACUCUUUGUUAAGCAUGGGAGCGCUUUCUCAAACCAGGCAUUUAGAUUGUCGCCUCUCGCAAGGCUUUCUAGGUGAGAAAGUUCACCGACGUGCGAAGAUUUCGAGACAUGUUUGAUCUUUCUUUCAACAUUCUUCCUCACCGUAGCCAUUUUGGCU